This 329-nucleotide ribosomal RNA is filed under the name uncultured bacterium. Its description in RNAcentral is "bacterial SSU rRNA". It matches the Rfam family "Bacterial small subunit ribosomal RNA", at positions 1 to 334 of the family's 1533-position model. The record is from RNAcentral.
CUAGCGACUUCAGAGUUUGAUCCUGGCUCAGGAUGAACGCUGGCGGCGUGCAUAACACAUUCAAGUCGAACGAGCGUAGCGAUACGCGAGUGGCGGACGGGUGAGUAACGCGUAAGCAAUCUGCCUCUGUGUGGGGAAGUAACAGCCGGAAACAGCUGCUAAUACCGCAUAAUACAUUCUGGUCGCAUGUCUGGAAUGUCAAAGAUUUAUCGCACAGAGAUGAGCUUGCGUCCGAUUAGAUGGUUGGUGGGGUAACGGCCUACCAAGUCGACGAUCGGUAGCCGGACUGAGAGGUUGAACGGCCACAUUGGAACUGAGAAACGGUCCAG